Molecule: non-coding RNA, 47 nt
Organism: Tinamus guttatus (white-throated tinamou)
Lineage: Eukaryota; Metazoa; Chordata; Aves; Tinamiformes; Tinamidae
Source: Rfam
CCAAAGGCUCUUUUAAGAGCCACCUCAUGUCCAGUAAAAGGAGCUGU